RNAcentral lists this ribosomal RNA (1292 nucleotides) under Listeria monocytogenes. Its description in RNAcentral is "bacterial LSU rRNA". It matches the Rfam family "Bacterial large subunit ribosomal RNA", at positions 1138 to 2427 of the family's 2925-position model. Lineage: Bacteria; Bacillati; Bacillota; Bacilli; Caryophanales; Listeriaceae. The record is from RNAcentral.
UAGCUCACUGGUCGAGUGACCCCGCGCCGAAAAUGUACCGGGGCUAAACAUAUUACCGAAACUGUGGAUGAACCUCUUUAGAGGUUCGUGGUAGGAGAGCGUUCUAAGGGCGGUGAAGUCAGACCGGAAGGACUGGUGGAGCGCUUAGAAGUGAGAAUGCCGGUAUGAGUAGCGAAAGAAGGGUGAGAAUCCCUUCCACCGAAUAUCUAAGGUUUCCUGAGGAAGGCUCGUCCGCUCAGGGUUAGUCGGGACCUAAGCCGAGGCCGAUAGGCGUAGGCGAUGGACAACAGGUAGAGAUUCCUGUACCAGUGCUAAUUGUUUAACCGAUGGGGUGACACAGAAGGAUAGGGAAUCGCACGAAUGGAAAUGUGCGUCCAAGCAGUGAGUGUGAGAAGUAGGCAAAUCCGCUUCUCGCGAAGCAUGAGCUGUGAUGGGGAAGGAAAUUAAGUACGGAAGUUCCUGAUUUCACGCUGUCAAGAAAAGCCUCUAGGAAGAGUAGUACUGCCCGUACCGCAAACCGACACAGGUAGAUGAGGAGAGAAUCCUAAGGUGAGCGAGAGAACUCUCGUUAAGGAACUCGGCAAAAUGACCCCGUAACUUCGGGAGAAGGGGUGCUCUAUUAGGGUGCAAGCCCGAGAGAGCCGCAGUGAAUAGGCCCAGGCGACUGUUUAGCAAAAACACAGGUCUCUGCAAAACCGUAAGGUGACGUAUAGGGGCUGACGCCUGCCCGGUGCUGGAAGGUUAAGAGGAGUGCUUAGCUUCGGCGAAGGUACGAAUUGAAGCCCCAGUAAACGGCGGCCGUAACUAUAACGGUCCUAAGGUAGCGAAAUUCCUUGUCGGGUAAGUUCCGACCCGCACGAAAGGCGCAACGAUCUGGGCACUGUCUCAACGAGAGACUCGGUGAAAUUAUAGUACCUGUGAAGAUGCAGGUUACCCGCGACAGGACGGAAAGACCCCGUGGAGCUUUACUGCAACCUGAUAUGGAAUGUUUGUACCGCUUGUACAGGAUAGGUAGGAGCCGAAGAGACGUGUGCGCUAGCAUACGAGGAGGCAAUGGUGGGAUACUACCCUGGCUGUAUGACCAUUCUAACCCGCCACGCUUAGCGCGUGGGGAGACAGUGUCAGGUGGGCAGUUUGACUGGGGCGGUCGCCUCCUAAAGAGUAACGGAGGCGCCCAAAGGUUCCCUCAGAAUGGAUGGAAAUCAUUCGCAGAGUGUAAAGGCACAAGGGAGCUUGACUGCGAGACUGACAAGUCGAGCAGGGACGAAAGUCGGGCUUAGUGAUCCGGUGGU